Molecule: long non-coding RNA, 390 nt
Organism: Solanum dulcamara
Lineage: Eukaryota; Viridiplantae; Streptophyta; Magnoliopsida; Solanales; Solanaceae
Exons: 4
Source: RefSeq, a predicted model, not a curated record
AAUUAGGCUAGAAACAAGGAAAGAGCUACGAUUUUGGGAGGAGAAAAAGGCAGCCCAAAACGUUACCAAACAGUCCCUAAGUUUCAGCUGCGCUAAAGGAAAUUCCGAGGCAAGUUUUGGCGAGUUGUGGUGAAUUUCGGGAAAGGUUCAAGAGACGACGAGGCGAGCAUAGUUAAGAGUAAUCCGUAAGAGGUACAGAUGAUUGGUUUGCUGAUCCGCUCGCUUAGGACAUCCACCAUGUUGGUCGACAGUGCUCCUUUGUUCGGAGUCCUAUUUUGGUACUGGCACUUUUUGUUGUAUAUAUAUAUAUAUACGUUGUUCAGGGUACAACGGGGCCCUGUCCCGUCAUAUGACUAUGAUAUCAGUCUGUAGAGGUCUGUAGACAUGAGA